GAGGAAUAUUGGUCAAUGGGCGAGAGCCUGAACCAGCCAAGUAGCGUGCAGGAUGACGGCCCUAUGGGUUGUAAACUGCUUUUGUAUGGGGAUAAAGUCAAUCACGUGUGAUUGUUUGCAGGUACCAUACGAAUAAGGACCGGCUAAUUCCGUGCCAGCAGCCGCGGUAAUACGGAAGGUCCAGGCGUUAUCCGGAUUUAUUGGGUUUAAAGGGAGCGUAGGCUGGAGAUUAAGUGUGUUGUGAAAUGUAGACGCUCAACGUCUGACUUGCAGCGCAUACUGGUUUCCUUGAGUACGCACAACGUUGGCGGAAUUCGUCGUGUAGCGGUGAAAUGCUUAGAUAUGACGAAGAACUCCGAUUGCGAAGGCAGCUGACGGGAGCGCAACUGACGCUGAAGCUCGAAGGUGCGGGUAUCGAACAGGAUUAGAUACCCUGGUAGUCCGCACAGUAAACGAUGGAUGCCCGCUGUUGGUACCUGGUAUCAGCGGCUAAGCGAAAGCAUUAAGCAUCCCACCUGGGGAGUACGCCGGCAACGGUG
This 539-nucleotide ribosomal RNA is filed under the name uncultured bacterium. RNAcentral's name for it is "bacterial SSU rRNA". It matches the Rfam family "Bacterial small subunit ribosomal RNA", at positions 356 to 896 of the family's 1533-position model. The record is from RNAcentral.